AACUCUGAGACAGGUGCUGCAUGGCUGUCGUCAGCUCGUGUUGUGAAAUGUUGGGUUAAGUCCCGCAACGAGCGCAACCCUUAUCCUUGUUUGCCAGCACUUCGGGUGGGAACUCCAGGGAGACUGCCGGUGAUAAACCGGAGGAAGGUGGGGACGACGUCAAGUCAUCAUGGCCCUUACGAGUAGGGCUACACACGUGCUACAA
RNAcentral lists this ribosomal RNA (205 nucleotides) under Vibrio sp. OPT41. RNAcentral's name for it is "partial 16S ribosomal RNA". It matches the Rfam family "Bacterial small subunit ribosomal RNA", at positions 1025 to 1230 of the family's 1533-position model. Lineage: Bacteria; Pseudomonadati; Pseudomonadota; Gammaproteobacteria; Vibrionales; Vibrionaceae. The record is from RNAcentral. RNAcentral also lists the same sequence under 1 other name.